CAAGACCUUGCGCUGAUUGAGCGGCCGAUAUCAGAUUAGCUAGUUGGUGAGGUAAAGGCUCACCAAGGCGACGAUCUGUAGCGGGUCUGAGAGGAUGAUCCGCCACACUGGAACUGAGACACGGUCCAGACUCCUACGGGAGGCAGCAGUGGGGAAUUUUGGACAAUGGGGGCAACCCUGAUCCAGCCAUGCCGCGUGAGUGAAGAAGGCCUUCGGGUUGUAAAGCUCUUUCAGCCGGGAAGAAAACGCAUGGGUUAAUACCCUGUGUGGAUGACGGUACCGGAAUAAGAAGCACCGGCUAACUACGUGCCAGCAGCCGCGGUAAUACGUAGGGUGCGAGCGUUAAUCGGAAUUACUGGGCGUAAAGCGUGCGCAGGCGGUUUUGUAAGACAGGCGUGAAAUCCCCGGGCUCAACCUGGGAACU
RNAcentral lists this ribosomal RNA (424 nucleotides) under uncultured beta proteobacterium. RNAcentral describes it as "bacterial SSU rRNA". It matches the Rfam family "Bacterial small subunit ribosomal RNA", at positions 207 to 622 of the family's 1533-position model. Lineage: Bacteria; Pseudomonadati; Pseudomonadota; Betaproteobacteria. The record is from RNAcentral.